UGGGGUAGUAGUGUCUU
This 17-nucleotide microRNA is filed under the name Macrophomina phaseolina MS6. RNAcentral's name for it is "miR-4500". The record is from RNAcentral. Lineage: Eukaryota; Fungi; Ascomycota; Dothideomycetes; Botryosphaeriales; Botryosphaeriaceae.